This 330-nucleotide long non-coding RNA is filed under the name Homo sapiens (human). RNAcentral's name for it is "non-protein coding lnc-DAD1-2:16". Lineage: Eukaryota; Metazoa; Chordata; Mammalia; Primates; Hominidae. The record is from RNAcentral.
GAGUGAUCACAGUUUUUGAGAAUCAUGAUGAGGCAUUAAAGAAGAGGAGGAGUGUCUCAAGGGAGGUGAGCUGGAGGUGAUGCAAGGUGGAGAGAGGAUGCCAGACAGAUAUUUGAGCAGAACAAAGAGAGCCAACAGGAUGAAGGCAUUCCCUGGCUGGUUGGACAAGCAACUGAAGAACAGGAACAGAAGUGAAUGAAAAGAGAAGAUGCUGUGUUUGUGUUUUCUCUUGGUUAGAAUGCUGUGAGUCAGGACCUUAGCUGCUGGGUGUCCUGGGACUGCCUUCGGGUCACUUCUGCUCUGCAUUUGGGAAGGGGCUUACCCAUGUCU